RNAcentral lists this ribosomal RNA (550 nucleotides) under uncultured bacterium. Its description in RNAcentral is "bacterial SSU rRNA". It matches the Rfam family "Bacterial small subunit ribosomal RNA", at positions 355 to 896 of the family's 1533-position model. The record is from RNAcentral.
UAGGGAAUCUUCGGCAAUGGGGGCAACCCUGACCGAGCAACGCCGCGUGAGUGAAGAAGGUUUUCGGAUCGUAAAGCUCUGUUGUAAGAGAAGAACGAGUGUGAGAGUGGAAAGUUCACACUGUGACGGUAACUUACCAGAAAGGGACGGCUAACUACGUGUCAGCAGCCGCGGUAAUACGUAGGUCCCGAGCGUUAUCCGGAUUUAUUGGGCGUAAAGCGAGCGCAGGCGGUUAGAUAAGUCUGAAGUUAAAGGCUGUGGCUUAACCAUAGUACGCUUUGGAAACUGUUUAACUUGAGUGCAGAAGGGGAGAGUGGAAUUCCAUGUGUAGCGGUGAAAUGCGUAGAUAUAUGGAGGAACACCGGUGGCGAAAGCGGCUCUCUGGUCUGUAACUGACGCUGAGGCUCGAAAGCGUGGGGAGCAAACAGGAUUAGAUACCCUGGUAGUCCACGCCGUAAACGAUGAGUGCUAGGUGUUGGAUCCUUUCCGGGAUUCAGUGCCGCAGCUAACGCAUUAGGCACUCCGCCUGGGGAGUACGACCGCAAGGUUG